UAGGGAAUCUUCGGCAAUGGACGAAAGUCUGACCGAGCAACGCCGCGUGAGUGAAGAAGGUUUUCGGAUCGUAAAACUCUGUUGUUAGAGAAGAACAAGGACGUUAGUAACUGAACGUCCCCUGACGGUAUCUAACCAGAAAGCCACGGCUAACUACGUGCCAGCAGCCGCGGUAAUACGUAGGUGGCAAGCGUUGUCCGGAUUUAUUGGGCGUAAAGCGAGCGCAGGCGGUUUCUUAAGUCUGAUGUGAAAGCCCCGGCUCAACCGGGGAGGGUCAUUGGAAACUGGGAGACUUGAGUGCAGAAGAGUAGAGUGGAAUUCCAUGUGUAGCGGUGAAAUGCGUAGAUAUAUGGAGGAACACCAGUGGCGAAGGCGGCUCUCUGGUCUGUAACUGACGCUGAGGCUCGAAAGCGUGGGGAGCAAACAGG
Molecule: ribosomal RNA, 428 nt
Filed under: Chloroflexota bacterium
Lineage: Bacteria; Bacillati; Chloroflexota
Description: Chloroflexi bacterium partial 16S ribosomal RNA
Rfam family: Bacterial small subunit ribosomal RNA
Source: RNAcentral